AAACUGCGAUAAGUAGUGUGAAUUGCAUUUAGUGAAUCAUCGAAUCUUUGAACGCACCCUGCACUCACUGGUAUUCCGGUGAGUACGCCUGUUUCAGUAUCAUUGAAAACACACAAUCAAAACAUUUUCUUUGGUUUGAUUGGCUUUGGGUCUAUCAAAAAGUUUGGCUUGUUUCUUACAAGCCAAGCGGCCUGAAAUAUAUUGUCUGGCUAAUUGCAUCGUUGAUGAUCGCUAUUAGACUUUGGCUUUUUUAAAUGAACUAGAGGUUGAUUAACCAGUUUUAGCUUUAGUCAAAUGGUCAUUGUAAAAAAAAUCUCGAUCUUGGCUAGGUGUUUAUAGCCGAAAAUUUUUUUUUGGCUAUAACCGAAACCAAUAUAAUCACAUUUAGUUAUCGAUCUGAAAUCAGGUGGGACUACCCGCUGAACUUAAGC
This 431-nucleotide unclassified non-coding RNA is filed under the name plant metagenome. RNAcentral describes it as "partial contains 5.8S ribosomal RNA, internal transcribed spacer 2, and large subunit ribosomal RNA". The stretch from base 1 to 102 matches the Rfam family "5.8S ribosomal RNA", at positions 50 to 154 of the family's 154-position model. The record is from RNAcentral.